GACGAACGCUGGCGGCGUGCCUAAUACAUGCAAGUCGAGCGGACCUCUUCGGAGGUUAGCGGCGGACGGGUGAGUAACACGUGGGCAACCUGCCUGUAAGACUGGGAUAACUUCGGGAAACCGGAGCUAAUACCGGAUAAUCCUUUCCCUCUCAUGAGGGAAAGCUGAAAGACGGUUUCGGCUGUCACUUACAGAUGGGCCCGCGGCGCAUUAGCUAGUUGGUGAGGUAACGGCUCACCAAGGCGACGAUGCGUAGCCGACCUGAGAGGGUGAUCGGCCACACUGGGACUGAGACACGGCCCAGACUCCUACGGGAGGCAGCAGUAGGGAAUCUUCCGCAAUGGACGAAAGUCUGACGGAGCAACGCCGCGUGAGCGAAGAAGGCCUUCGGGUCGUAAAGCUCUGUUGUCAGGGAAGAACAAGUAUCGGAGUAACUGCCGGUACCUUGACGGUACCUGACCAGAAAGCCACGGCUAACUACGUGCCAGCAGCCGCCGUAA
RNAcentral lists this ribosomal RNA (500 nucleotides) under uncultured bacterium. RNAcentral describes it as "partial 16S ribosomal RNA". It matches the Rfam family "Bacterial small subunit ribosomal RNA", at positions 28 to 523 of the family's 1533-position model. The record is from RNAcentral.